UACGAGGGGGGCGAGCGUUGUUCGGAAUUAUUGGGCGUAAAGAGCUCGUAGGCGGUUUGUCACGUCGGCUGUGAAAACCCGAGGCUCAACCUCGGGCCUGCAGUCGAUACGGGCAGACUAGAGUGCUGUAGGGGAGACUGGAAUUCCUGGUGUAGCGGUGAAAUGCGCAGAUAUCAGGAGGAACACCGGUGGCGAAGGCGGGUCUCUGGGCAGUAACUGACGCUGAGGAGCGAAAGCGUGGGGAGCAAACAGG
RNAcentral lists this ribosomal RNA (253 nucleotides) under uncultured bacterium. Its description in RNAcentral is "partial 16S ribosomal RNA". It matches the Rfam family "Bacterial small subunit ribosomal RNA", at positions 524 to 776 of the family's 1533-position model. The record is from RNAcentral.